This 3515-nucleotide ribosomal RNA is filed under the name Decorataria decorata. RNAcentral's name for it is "partial large subunit ribosomal RNA". It matches the Rfam family "Eukaryotic large subunit ribosomal RNA", at positions 70 to 2948 of the family's 3401-position model. The record is from RNAcentral. Lineage: Eukaryota; Metazoa; Nematoda; Chromadorea; Rhabditida; Acuariidae.
GAGGAUUCUCCCAGUAACGGCGAGUGAACGGAGAAAAGCCCAGCGCUGAAUCAUUUGAUCACAGUGAUCAUAUUGAAAUGUAGCGUAUAGGUGUAACUGUCCCAUUGUUUUGUGCACUCAAAGUCCCCUUGAGCGGGGCCAUAGUCCACAGAAGGUGCUAGACCUGUACGGGUGACGAAGCACUGGGUUAGUUGCUCCUUGGAGUCGGGUUGCCUGAGAUCGCAGCUCAAAGUGGGUGGUAAACCUCAUCUAAGGCUAAAUAUGGCCACGAGACCGAUAGCAAACAAGUACCGUGAGGGAAAGUUGAAAAGAACUCUGAGAAGAGAGUUAAAGGAGGACGUGAAACCGCUGGGAUGGAAACGAAUAGAGUUGACGAAACCUACCGUCAUUCAACCGAUCAGCUUAACGGUCUUUUUACUAUUGUACCACACGUCUUUUGACGUUACGAUGGACAAUAGUUUGAGGUGCUGUUGAGUAGUUUUCAAAUAAUACCUGUGUGAUCGGUGCAUUUGAUGGUGGUACGCGCCGAGAGCCGUGUUAUUGUAUGACAAAGCAAUUUUGGUAGUGGACCGGAUGAUUGUUCAUUUGGAAACCUACCAAUGUGAUAGGCAUAUCGAUAAUACGGUUGCAAUUGCAACUUUCGCCGUAUGGUGCAUUACAUAUGUGCUCAAUUUAUACUUCCUUUCAAUGAUCGCAUGCGUAUCGUUGAUUGUUUUUUGAAUGUAUUGAAUUGAGUGAUAUGUGAAUUCAAAUGCGUUAAAGUUGUAUCUCGGUGUGAGCGUCGAUCACCUAUUCGACCCGUCUUGAAACACGGACCAAGGAGUCUAGCAUAUGCGCAAGUUAUUGGGUGGUAAACCUAUAAAAAACGCAAUGAAAGUGAAAGUUGUCUCGAUACAACUGGAUAUGUGAGCCAUGUGUUUUGUUUUCAAAAAAAAGAAAAAAAAAAGAGCAUGGUGCAACAUAGCCCCGUCCCCGUUGCUUGCAAUAGGGCGGAGGUAGAGCGCAUACGCUGGGACCCGAAAGAUGGUGAACUAUGCCUGAGCAGGAUGAAGCCAGAGGAAACUCUGGUGGAGGUCCGAAGCGAUUCUGACGUGCAAAUCGAUCGUCUGACUUUGGUAUAGGGGCGAAAGACUAAUCGAACUAUCUAGUAGCUGGUUCCCUCUGAAGUUUCCCCCAGGAUAGCUGGAGCACAUACAAGAGCAGUUAUAUUCGGUAAAGCGAAUGAUUAGACGAAUUGGGGACGAAACGUCCUCAACCUAUUCUCAAACUUUCAAUGGGUAUGAAGUUUCGCUUUCUUAAAGUUCGAAAAAAAAAAGAAAUUUUUUUUUUUUGAACAAUGAAGCGUGAACAUUGAAUGCGUGCUCCAAGUGGGCCAUUUUUGGUAAGCAGAACUGGCGCUGUGGGAUGAACCAAACGUCGAGAUAAAGUGCCAAACUUUCCGCUCAUGAGAUCCCAUGAAAGGCGUUGGUUGAUAUAGACAGCAGGACGGUGGCCAUGGAAGUCGGAAACCGCUAAGGAGUGUGUAACAACUCACCUGCCGAAUCAACUAGCCCUGAAAAUGGAUGGCGCUUGAGCGGAAGACUUAUACUCGACCGUUGCUUGGCUUGUGUACACAGGUGUUUUUCAUUUUUUGAAAUGCAUAAGUUACCUGGCCGCAACGAGUAAGAGGGUCGCGGUGGUUAGCGCUGAAGACUUUGGGCGUAGGCCCAGUCGGAGCUUCCACUGGUGCAGAUCUUGGUGGUAGUAGCAAAUAUUCAAGUGAGAUCCUUGAAGACUGAAGUGGAGAAGGGUUCCUCGUGAACAGCAGUUGGAUGCGGGUCAGUCGAUCCUAAGAUAUUGGCUAAUGCCAUUUGUUGAAAUGAGAGACGGAGAUCAAAUCCAUCUCGGCAAUCGAAAGGGAAACGGGUUUAUAUUCCCGUACCUGGACACGGAGAUUAAAUAUCCCAUUGUGGGUAUUUAGCGCGGUAACGCAAACGAACUCGGAGACGUUGAGUAGAGCCCGAGCCAGAGUUCUCUUUUCUGGUUAAGGAACGGACUCCCUGGAAGCGGUUCAGCCGGCGAUAGGGACGUUGUUUCCGUAAAGCGCCACGGUUCCUGUGGCGUCUCGUGCACUCUGCUCGACCCAUGAAAAUCCGAGGGAGGCAAUUUGAAUUUCGUGCCAGAUCGUACCGAUAUCCGCAGCAGGUCUCCAAGGUGAACAGCCUCUAGUCGAUAGAAUAAUGUAGGUAAGGGAAGUCGGCAAAUUAGAUCCGUAACUUCGGGAAAAGGAUUGGCUCUAAGGACUGGGUCGGUCGGGCUGCAGCGUGAAGUGAGUGCGGUUUGAUCCGUGCAGUGCUAACGCUAGUUGGUUGCACAAAAUCUUUUUGGAUCUCUCAAAAAUUUCUCCAAUAAAACAGCAAUAUUCAUUUAUAUAUAUAUGUAUUGCAUACAAAUUUGGUUUAAUCGCCAGUUUGUAUUGUUUUUAUGUGUAUAUAUUUUUGGUAUUGUGUUAGUUUUUUGGUUGUAAAUUUUUGUUUGAGUGAAAAAUUGAUGUGUCCAAUAAAGUGUUUGGUUCGGCUAGUGUUUGAACUGUCUUAUGGACCGCUGCAGCUGUGCAUCGGUUCACUUUCAGCGGUGCCGGUGCUUCGUCCGGCGCUAAACAGUCAGCUUAGAACUGGCACGGACUCGGGGAAUCCGACUGUCUAAUUAAAACAGAGGAGACAGAUGGUCCUUGCGGGCGUUGACUGUCUCUGAUUUCUGCCCAGUGCUCUGAAUGUAAAAGUGAAGAAAUUCAACCAAGCGCGGGUAAACGGCGGGAGUAACUAUGACUCUCUUAAGGUAGCCAAAUGCCUCGUCGGAUAACUACCGACGCGCAUGAAUGGAUUAUCGAGAUUCCCACUGUCCCUAUCUACUAUCUAGCGAAAUCACAGCCAAGGGAACGGGCUUGGUAAACACAGCGGGGAAAGAAGACCCUGUUGAGCUUGACUCUAGUCCGACUCUGUGAAGAGUCAUGAGAGGUGUAGCAUAAGUGGGAGGGUUUAAUGGACAAAAAUUCAUUAAGCCAUCAGUGAAAUACCACUACUUUCAUCGAUUCUUUACUUAUUCGGUAAGACGGGAAUUGAACCGAGAUGGUUCUUGAUUCUGGGUAUAAAGUGUAGCCGCUUGGUGGCCGCACGACUCGCGCCGAAGACAGUGUCAGGCGGGGAGUUUGACUGGGGCGGUACAUCUGUCAAAAGGUAACGCAGGUGUCCUAAGGCUAGCUCAGAGAGGACGGAAACCUCUCGUAGAGUAAAAGGGCAAAAGCUCGCUUGAUCUUGAUUUCCAGUACGAAUACAGACCGCGAAAGCGUGGCCUAUCGAUCCUUUUGAAUUAGAAGGUCUCUAGCAAGAGGUGUCAGAAAAGUUACCACAGGGAUAACUGGCUUGUGGCAGCCAAGCGUCCAUAGCGACGUUGCUUUUUGAUCCUUCGAUGUCGGCUCUUCCUAUCAUUGCGAAGCAGAAUUCGCCAAGCGUUGGAUUGUUCACCCACCAAUAGGG